This 423-nucleotide ribosomal RNA is filed under the name uncultured bacterium. RNAcentral's name for it is "bacterial SSU rRNA". It matches the Rfam family "Bacterial small subunit ribosomal RNA", at positions 355 to 775 of the family's 1533-position model. The record is from RNAcentral.
UGAGGAAUAUUGGUCAAUGGGCGCAAGCCUGAACCAGCCACGUCGCGUGAAGGAAGACGGCCCUACGGGUUGUAAACUUCUUUUGUAAGGGAAUAAAGUGUAGUACGUGUACUAUUUUGCAUGUACCUUACGAAUAAGGAUCGGCUAACUCCGUGCCAGCAGCCGCGGUAAUACGGAGGAUCAGAGCGUUAUCCGGAUUUAUUGGGUUUAAAGGGUGCGCAGGCGGGAGAUUAAGUCGGCGGUGAAAUUUUGCAGCUUAACUGUAAAAGUGCCUUCGAAACUGGUUUCCUUGAGUGUAGAUGAAGUAGGCGGAAUUUGUGGUGUAGCGGUGAAAUGCAUAGAUAUCACGAGGAACUCCGAUUGCGCAGGCAGCUUACUAAACUACUACUGACGCUCAGGCACGAAGGCGUGGGGAUCAAACAG